AGAUUGAACGCUGGCGGCAUGCCUUACACAUGCAAGUCGAACGGCAGCACGGGAGCAAUCCUGGUGGCGAGUGGCGAACGGGUGAGUAAUACAUCGGAACGUGCCCAAUCGUGGGGGAUAACGCAGCGAAAGCUGUGCUAAUACCGCAUAAGAUCUACGGAUGAAAGCAGGGGAUCGCAAGACCUUGCGCGAAUGGAGCGGCCGAUGGCAGAUUAGGUAGUUGGUGAGGUAAAGGCUCACCAAGCCUUCGAUCUGUAGCUGGUCUGAGAGGACGACCAGCCACACUGGGACUGAGACACGGCCCAGACUCCUACGGGAGGCAGCAGUGGGGAAUUUUGGACAAUGGGCGAAAGCCUGAUCCAGCCAUGCCGCGUGCAGGAUGAAGCCUUCGGUUGUAAACUGCUUUGUACGAACGAAAGUCUCUUUCUAAUAAAGAGGAUCAUGACGUACCGUAAGAAUAAGCACGGCUAACUACGUACG
RNAcentral lists this ribosomal RNA (480 nucleotides) under uncultured soil bacterium. RNAcentral describes it as "bacterial SSU rRNA". It matches the Rfam family "Bacterial small subunit ribosomal RNA", at positions 26 to 509 of the family's 1533-position model. The record is from RNAcentral.